UACGUAGGGGGCAAGCGUUGUCCGGAUUUAUUGGGCGUAAAGAGCGUGUAGGCGGCUAGGUAGGUCCGUUGUGAAAACUCGAGGCUCAACCUCGAGACGCCGGUGGAAACCAUCUAGCUAGAGUCCGGAAGAGGCGAGUGGAAUUCCCGGUGUAGCGGUGAAAUGCGCAGAUAUCGGGAGGAACACCAAUGGCGAAGGCAGCUCGCUGGGACGGUACUGACGCUGAGGCGCGAAAGCGUGGGGAGCAAACAGG
Molecule: ribosomal RNA, 253 nt
Filed under: uncultured bacterium
Lineage: Bacteria
Description: partial 16S ribosomal RNA
Rfam family: Bacterial small subunit ribosomal RNA
Source: RNAcentral